RNAcentral lists this ribosomal RNA (496 nucleotides) under uncultured bacterium. RNAcentral's name for it is "partial 16S ribosomal RNA". It matches the Rfam family "Bacterial small subunit ribosomal RNA", at positions 28 to 506 of the family's 1533-position model. The record is from RNAcentral.
GACGAACGCUGGCGGCGUGCCUAAUACAUGCAAGUUGAGCGCUGAAGGUUGGUACUUGUACCAACUGGAUGAGCAGCGAACGGGUGAGUAACGCGUGAGGAAUCUGCCUUUGAGCGGGGGACAACAUUUGGAAACGAAUGCUAAUACCGCAUAAAAACUUUAAACACAAGUUUUAAGUUUGAAAGAUGCAAUUGCAUCACUCAAAGAUGAUCCCGCGUUGUAUUAGCUAGUUGGUGAGGUAAAGGCUCACCAAGGCGAUGAUACAUAGCCGACCUGAGAGGGUGAUCGGCCACAUUGGGACUGAGACACGGCCCAAACUCCUACGGGAGGCAGCAGUAGGGAAUCUUCGGCAAUGGACGAAAGUCUGACCGAGCAACGCCGCGUGAGUGAAGAAGGUUUUCGGAUCGUAAAACUCUGUUGGUAGAGAAGAACGUUGGUGAGAGUGGAAAGCUCAUCAAGUGACGGUAACUACCCAGAAAGGGACGGCUAACUACGU